Molecule: ribosomal RNA, 583 nt
Filed under: Botryosphaeria dothidea
Lineage: Eukaryota; Fungi; Ascomycota; Dothideomycetes; Botryosphaeriales; Botryosphaeriaceae
Description: eukaryotic LSU rRNA
Rfam family: 5.8S ribosomal RNA (bases 211-364)
Source: RNAcentral
UCCGUAGGUGAACCUGCGGAAGGAUCAUUACCGAGUUGAUUCGGGCUCCGGCCCGAUCCUCCCACCCUUUGUGUACCUACCUCUGUUGCUUUGGCGGGCCGCGGUCCUCCGCGGCCGCCCCCCUCCCCGGGGGGGUGGCCAGCGCCCGCCAGAGGACCAUCAAACUCCAGUCAGUAAACGAUGCAGUCUGAAGAACAUUUAAUAAACUAAAACUUUCAACAACGGAUCUCUUGGUUCUGGCAUCGAUGAAGAACGCAGCGAAAUGCGAUAAGUAAUGUGGAUUGCAGAAUUCAGUGAAUCAUCGAAUCUUUGAACGCACAUUGCGCCCUUUGGUAUUCCGAAGGGCAUGCCUGUUCGAGCGUCAUUACAACCCUCAAGCUCUGCUUGGUAUUGGGCACCGUCCUUUGCGGGCGCGCCUCAAAGACCUCGGCGGUGGCGUCUUGCCUCAAGCGUAGUAGAACAUACAUCUCGCUUCGGAGCGCAGGGCGUCGCCCGCCGGACGAACCUUCUGAACUUUUCUCAAGGUUGACCUCGGAUCAGGUAGGGAUACCCGCUGAACUUAAGCAUAUCAAUAAGCGGAGGA